GCUCACGUAGCUCAAAGGAUAGAGCUUUUCUACAAUAAACUAACCGGUUCAAAUCCGGUCGUGAGCG
Molecule: transfer RNA, 67 nt
Filed under: Pteridium revolutum
Lineage: Eukaryota; Viridiplantae; Streptophyta; Polypodiopsida; Polypodiales; Dennstaedtiaceae
Description: tRNA-Cys
Rfam family: tRNA
About the family: Transfer RNA (tRNA) molecules are approximately 80 nucleotides in length. Their secondary structure includes four short double-helical elements and three loops (D, anti-codon, and T loops).
Source: RNAcentral